CUAGGAAGAGGUAGUAGGUUGCAUAGUUUUAGGGCUGUUUUUUUGCCCAGGAGGAGGUAACUAUACAACCCGCUGCCUUUCUUGG
Pelobates cultripes (western spadefoot toad) is the source of this 85-nucleotide non-coding RNA. The record is from the annotation of a GenBank genome assembly. NCBI's taxonomy places the organism in Eukaryota, Metazoa, Chordata, Amphibia, Anura, Pelobatidae.